Molecule: unclassified non-coding RNA, 3056 nt
Filed under: Hevea brasiliensis (rubber tree)
Lineage: Eukaryota; Viridiplantae; Streptophyta; Magnoliopsida; Malpighiales; Euphorbiaceae
Source: RNAcentral
UUAAAUUUGAGCUAAAAGGAAAAGCCACAUCAGGAAGCAAGGUCAAGGCACAGUCUCACGCACAGUUCCCUGUGUCUUCUCUCUCAUCCCUCCUCCAUGAGAAGCAGAAGCUAGGUCCUAGGGUUCCUCUCCCUCCAUCGUACAAAUCUUCCCCAAAUUUACUUUCUUCAAAUCUCACAUUACCCCAACCAAGCCUAUCACUUCCAUGGCCAAAACCAGACCAGGCCUCAUCUCCAAGCCCAAACACGGCAAAAGAGAGCUCGACUCCUCCACCAUUCGCGGCACCAACAAAGUCGUCAAAGUGGGGGAUUGCGUGUUGAUGAGACCAUCGGACACCGGAAAGCCGCCAUACGUGGCGAAAAUUGAGGGAAUCGAGGCGGAUAGCAGAAACAAUGUGAAGGUAAGGGUGAGGUGGUACUAUCGGCCCGAGGAGGCGCUUGGUGGCCGCAGGCAGUUUCACGGUGCCAAGGAGCUCUUCUUAUCUGACCAUUACGAUGUGCAGAGUGCUCACACUAUUGAAGGGAAGUGUACAGUUCACUCUUUUAAGAAUUAUACCAAGCUUGAGAAUGUUGGGGCUGAGGAUUAUUAUUGUAGGUUUGAGUACAAGGCUGCUACGGGAGGCUUCACGCCUGACCGCGUUGCUGUGUGAGUCUUACUCUAUUUUUUUUCGGUUUCUUCAACUUGGCUUCUUUCGUCGGUCUAUUGUUGAUUAAGAUUUAAUCGGUUUUGGCUUUUGUUUUCUUGAAGGUAUUGUAAAUGCGAGAUGCCAUAUAACCCGGAUGAUCUUAUGGUGCAAUGCGAAGGUUGCAAGGACUGGUAUCAUCCUGCUUGUGUGGGCAUGACCAUUGAAGAAGCAAAGAAGUUAGAUCACUUUGUUUGUUCUGAAUGUGGAUCAGAUGAUGAUAUCAAAAGAUCACAGAAUGGAUUUUCUUCGUCACCGGCAGCCGAUGGCAAGGUGAGAUGUUUUUAGGUCCAGUUUCACAUCAUACAAAAAUAUGGGUUUGUUGCCUGUUAUUUAUGUCAUCUCUAUAUGCUUGAUGAAUUAUGUGCUGGUUCCCUGGGAUGAUCUUUAUGCCUCUUGUUGGGAUUUAACAGGUAAAAGAGUACUAAGUUAGACUCUCUUUGGUUACUUUGUGUUUCAUUCUAUUUGCAACAACACAGAUGAUAUUGUCUAUAUGUGAUCCUAACUGAAUUUUUAUUCCUUUGGAAAUAAAAUUAAAUUAUCAAGUUUUUCCAGGGGAUAUAAUAAAGAUUAUAUUUCUCAUAAGGAGCAGCAAACUGGUGCUAUUGAAGAUUAUAAAUUUGGCCGUGCAAAAUGUGUCAUCUUCAUUUAAUUGUUUUUUCUUCAUUUUUAAGACUAACUAUUGUGUUGUAGUACAUUAUGCUGCAGUUGUGCAAAUGCCAGAAGUAGUUAGACACAGAUUCUUCAGUUCAAUUCUGUAGCUGCUUUUCCCCCGUGAAAUCCAGAGUAGUUGAUAAUGUGUUUGGAUCCAUACUUUUAGAAUGAGCUCAUUUGGACCAUUAUUUAUGGAUCUGAAUCCACAUUGUUCAUUGUGUUUUGAUUUUGUUGCUUCUCGGUUGUGCUCUAGUUUUCCUUUCAUUGAGGGAUCACAAGCUUGAAACUGUUGAAAAUAUGAGUUUUUCCAUGAGAGUGUUUGAAUGAAAUGGAGUUCAUUUCAAAUAGGAUUUUGUUUUCACUUAAGGUAUCUGCUGAUGUAUUUUUUCCAUUGUUCUUGUCCCAAAGCAUUUUAGGAAUGCCUUAUGGCUGGAUAUGAUUAAUAGUUAGUGUCUUUGUGUAUCCUAUCUUUCAUUGCAAUGGCUGUUAUUUUAUUACUUCUAUUUCAUUUGCCUGAUGACUUUGUGCCAUGGUUCUGUGUGGACCAGCCAUUUUUGUUCAUCCUUUCUGUUAGCAGUGUUGCUCUUUCAAGCAUUAUUCAUAUUUUUGCUUUGAAUGCACACAGCAGAGUGUUUACAAAAUAUGUAAAUACAUUCCAUGUGUGUGUAUAAAUUGAUUCAUGGAAUGUGUGUUCAUGAAAGAUGACUGUCAGGAUUUCACCUGUCUGAUUUUAAUGUAUUUCAGAUUUGUAGUAUCCUUUUGUAUCCAUAUUUAUGUUUUAUUUAAACCAUUCUGUCCACCAUUUGUUGGUCAUUUGGGAGUUUAGCAUUGACUUUUUUCUUUUACCCUAUGCUCUUUAAUUGCAGUUAGAGACCAAGCGACGGAAGAGAUAGAAUGCAGGUGGGAGAUUAACAAAAUGCAUGGGGAGAUGAGGCUGCUCUUGCAGAUGUAGCUUUAUAAUGUUGUCGUGUGGAAUGUAUAGUGCUGAAAACAAUGGUGUGCUUUGUCCAAACUAUAGGCCAUCAGUAAUUUAUGUGAUUAUCUUGUGGUAUAUGUAGCUAUGCUAGGUUUAGGACAUAAUUCUGUCACCGAUCUAUCCAGAAAAGAAGUUUCAUUUUGCUCAUGGCUCAGAUGUUGAACCUAAUUUUUGGGGACUUUUUUUUUUUCUGGUAUUCACUGUGUGUAAUCUAUUAUAGUAACUCACUAUCUGUUUACACCAGUCUCUCAUAUGAGAAUGAUGAUGUUUAACGCCAGAAUCAUAUGAUGUAUGCAUUGCCCAUGUCUGAGAAGUUUGUUGCAAAUUAUGAGUUUGAGGUUGGAGGGCAACUUUGCUUCUUUGUAUAGUUCAUACGGGUAGACUGUUUUGCACAAGACUGAGAAGGACAAACCGUCCAUUGUGUUACUUUCCCCAUACAGAAGUGAGUGGGAGAUUGUGGACUCUGCUGGGUUUUUCUGUUAAAUUCACUGGCAGGGUAAAAAUUUUCGACCGACUCCAAUACUAUAUUUCAGAGUUAACCGAAGAGAGGAUGUACAAAACUGCCUGAUCACUGGGGAUAUGUACUGUCAUCAAUUUGAAUCCUGAGACACUGAGCUGUUGUAUAUAUAAAUAAACUGUACCCUCCGACAGAUUUGACCUAUUACCAACAAAAAAUGGUGGUCUGGUAGGACUGAUUGACAGCCACUGCAUUUGAUGCUUGAUGCUGAAUAUAUUCCUAUUUUG